AUGGACGCUGGCGGCGUGCCUAAUACUUGCAAGUCGAGCGAACAGACGAGGAGCUUGCUCCUUUGACGUUAGCGGCGGACGGGUGAGUAACACGUGGAUAACCUACCUAUAAGACUGGGAUAACUUCGGGAAACCGGAGCUAAUACCGGAUAACAUGUUGAACCGCAUGGUUCAACAGUGAAAGACGGUCUUGCUGUCACUUAUAGAUGGAUCCGCGCCGCAUUAGCUAGUUGGUAAGGUAACGGCUUACCAAGGCAACGAUGCGUAGCCGACCUGAGAGGGUGAUCGGCCACACUGGAACUGAGACACGGUCCAGACUCCUACGGGAGGCAGCAGUAGGGAAUCUUCCGCAAUGGGCGAAAGCCUGACGGAGCAACGCCGCGUGAGUGAAGAAGGUCUUCGGAUCGUAAAACUCUGUUAUUAGGGAAGAACAAAUGUGUAAGUAACUAUGCACGUCUUGACGGUACCUAAUCAGAAAGCCACGGCUAACUACGUG
This 496-nucleotide ribosomal RNA is filed under the name uncultured bacterium. RNAcentral's name for it is "partial 16S ribosomal RNA". It matches the Rfam family "Bacterial small subunit ribosomal RNA", at positions 29 to 507 of the family's 1533-position model. The record is from RNAcentral.